UGCGCGCAUGACUGUCAGUCGCUUUAGAUAAAAGUGUCUGCUAAAUGGCAUAUA
This is a non-coding RNA of Salmo salar (Atlantic salmon), 54 nucleotides long. The record is from Rfam. NCBI's taxonomy places the organism in Eukaryota, Metazoa, Chordata, Actinopteri, Salmoniformes, Salmonidae.